Molecule: RNase P RNA, 281 nt
Filed under: Hadesarchaea archaeon
Lineage: Archaea; Methanobacteriati; Hadarchaeota (SeqCode); Hadarchaeia (SeqCode)
Description: RNase P RNA component
Rfam family: Archaeal RNase P
About the family: Ribonuclease P (RNase P) is a ubiquitous endoribonuclease, found in archaea, bacteria and eukarya as well as chloroplasts and mitochondria.
Source: RNAcentral
GCGAGCCGGUGGGCGGCCGUCGGGCGAAAGCCUGAGGAAACUCCGUCCACCAGACGGCACCGCGAGCCCGAAAGGGCUGGACCGGGAGGUCCGCUCCUGGAACAGAAACGAUCCCCCCCACCCCUGACGAUGAUACGAAAGUUGAGGUGGGGUGGAGAGGGAUGAAACGGCCAGUCCGCGGGGUGCAAGGGCAAGCACCGUCUAUGAGCGCCGUCCGAGACGGGGGUAGCCCGCUCAGUCGAAUGCCGCCUAAAACAGAAGACGGGUUACGGCCGGCUCGC